AGCCUACUUGGCCCAGCUCUGUUGAUUGCACACACUGAAAAGAAGCCAGGUAACCCAUAGGAGCCAAUUCCCAACCUUCUCUUCGGCUCCCAGUGUAAUGCAACCCCAUUCACCUUGUUCAGUUGAGAAUUGAUGGAUUCUUGGAUUUUCCUUUAUGGAAAGCAGAGUGACUUUAAGUCCCAGAAUCGAUUACUUUACAAAGGAAAAAAGUGAUGGAGGGGUUAGAUCACUCGGGGACUUGUAUGAGAGGAGGAAUAGUGACAGCUCCAGUUUCUUUUCUCCUUUUUAAUUAUAAAGAAACCAUUGUAGAGCCCCGUGCUUUAGACAAGCAGACGUAAGCAACUCUUCUAAAUAAAUAAGUAAUUCAUUGGAAUUAAGACAACGGAUUCCCUUAUUUCUCUGGUUCAGUGAUGCCAUCGAUAUUAUCAGCAUGAAUAAACAGAUGCCUUGGA
Xenopus tropicalis (tropical clawed frog) is the source of this 452-nucleotide long non-coding RNA. RefSeq lists it as uncharacterized. The record is from RefSeq and is a predicted model, not a curated record. The transcript has 3 exons. Lineage: Eukaryota; Metazoa; Chordata; Amphibia; Anura; Pipidae.